This 253-nucleotide ribosomal RNA is filed under the name uncultured bacterium. Its description in RNAcentral is "partial 16S ribosomal RNA". It matches the Rfam family "Bacterial small subunit ribosomal RNA", at positions 524 to 776 of the family's 1533-position model. The record is from RNAcentral.
UACGGGGGGAGCAAGCGUUGUUCGGAUUUACUGGGCGUAAAGGGCGCGUAGGCGGUAGCACAAGUCAGUUGUGAAAUCUCCGGGCUUAACUCGGAAAGGUCAACUGAUACUGUGCGACUAGAGUGCAGAAGGGGCAACUGGAAUUCUUGGUGUAGCGGUGAAAUGCGUAGAUAUCAGGUGGAACACCAGUGGCGAAGGCGGCUUUCUGGACGGUAACUGACGCUGAGACGCGAAAGCGUGGGGAGCAAACAGG